Molecule: ribosomal RNA, 497 nt
Filed under: uncultured bacterium
Lineage: Bacteria
Description: partial 16S ribosomal RNA
Rfam family: Bacterial small subunit ribosomal RNA
Source: RNAcentral
GACGAACGCUGGCGGCGUGCCUAAUACAUGCAAGUUGAGCGCUGAAGGUUGGUACUUGUACCAACUGGAUGAGCAGCGAACGGGUGAGUAACGCGUGGGGAAUCUGCCUUUGAGCGGGGGACAACAUUUGGAAACGAAUGCUAAUACCGCAUAAAAACUUUAAACACAAGUUUUAAGUUUGAAAGAUGCAAUUGCAUCACUCAAAGAUGAUCCCGCGUUGUAUUAGCUAGUUGGGGAGGUAAAGGCUCACCAAGGGGAUGAUACAUAGCCGGACUGAGAGGGUGGUCGGCCACAAUGGGAAUGAGACACGGCCCCAGCUCCCACGGGAGGCAGCAGUAGGGAAUCUUCGGCCAUGGGCGAAAGUCUGACCGAGCAAAGCCGCGUGAGUGAAGGAGGUUUUCGGAUCGUAAAACUCUGUUGGUAGGGAAAAAAGAUGGUGAGAGUGGAAAGCUCAUCAAGUGACGGUAACUAACCAGAAAGCGACGGCUAACUACGUG